Non-coding RNA from Drosophila melanogaster (fruit fly), 544 nucleotides. NCBI's taxonomy places the organism in Eukaryota, Metazoa, Arthropoda, Insecta, Diptera, Drosophilidae. The record is from Ensembl.
AUUGCAACAAGUGCAGCAAAUGGAGUUAUAUGUAUGUCUAUAUAAGGAAAUAUCAACAGGGGAGCAGCGAAGAGGGUGUCUUUAACGAUAUAUAUAGACCAUUAAUCAACUGAUUCAUUUGGAGAUAUUGCCAAAGGCUGGCUUAUUCAAUCCAAGGAAGUUUGUUGCUGGCCGCACAAUACUCAUAAACCGCACCGAACCGCACGCUUUGAGAUCUUGUUUAAUACUGGAGCCGAAAUCGAAGUUGGAGCCACCGCUCAAGUGGCAAUGGAGUGGUAUUAUAUGGCAAUGGAACGCGACAGUGGGCUUAAAGACUUCAUGUCAGCCAAAGCACUUAUAUUCCUUAAAAGGAAAAUAACUCAAGGGGUUAUAGAGGAAGCACUGAUCUUAGCAAUUAAAGACAAAUACAAAUUGAGCCAAAUACUUUUGGCAACUAAAUCUUCAGCUUUGGAGCUAUUUACUUGUGAUUUCUCGGUAUUUUACGUUAUUUAUUUUGAUAAGGAAACAUAAAUCAAUAAAAUUAUCGAAACUUCUUACGAACUUU